Acinonyx jubatus (cheetah) is the source of this 3941-nucleotide long non-coding RNA. RefSeq lists it as uncharacterized. NCBI's taxonomy places the organism in Eukaryota, Metazoa, Chordata, Mammalia, Carnivora, Felidae. The transcript has 6 exons. The record is from RefSeq and is a predicted model, not a curated record.
CCGGCUCAGGGAGGUGGGGACAGGGAGAACUAGCCUCCGGGCCUCUGCUGCCUCCAGAGAGAGGGUGCAGGAGGAUGCUGGGGCGGGAAUCCUUCCGGAAGGGCACGGGCAUGAGAACAGAGAGGUGAAGCCCCCUUGGUCUCAGGCGGUAUUUCCUCAUGCUCCUUCCCCUCACGGCCUGACUCAGACAGGUGGUUCAGGACGUAGACCUUCAGGAGAAGAGCAAGAACCUUGUUACUGGUGGCGUGCCCUCUGGUCUUCCCAGGACAUGGAUCCUCUUACCGCCUACGUUCUGGUCACUCACUGCAAAGCAACUUCCCGACGUGGAGACAUGCUGGGCCAGUCUUGUCUGCAUUCGAGGGGGCAGCCGGGCGGCAGGAGGGAGCAGACAGUGCACGGGUGAUCAGGCCAGGCAGGGGCCAGGGGGGCGGGGAAGGGGGGGUGCGGGGGAAUAUUCCAGAACUGGAGACCUCGAAGCUGCUGGCAGAGGAGCUAGACCAGUAGGCAGACUGCCCGUGGGGCUGCAGAAGGGGAGUGUCCUCCCUGCAAUGGAGCCCCCAUCGGUGUCCCCACGAGAUGCUCCAGAACGAUCGAAGGGGCACAUUUACUCUGGAGAGCUAGGGAUGCGGGGCUGAGCCCAGUGGGAUGCUGGCGUUCAGGCUGCAGGAGCCACCUGGGAAGGCAGAGGUGAGGUGGUGGGAGGGCUAGGCCCUUCCAGGGCCUCCCCGGGACCUCCCUCCUCCUUCCAGGGGCUGGUGCUGCGGGACCCCACACUCCUCGAGCCACCCUCUGCCCCAGCACGGCGCUUCGUGCCCAGGAAUCUCCACCUGGGAAAUCUACGGAGUCUGGGACCAGCAGCACUCACUCAAGUGGAACAAGUGACUGGAGAGACUUUGAGGGUCCGGAGGGACAGCUGGGACUACAUCAGGGCCACAUCCUUCCCACUGGAAGGAAAGAGCUAGGGACCCGGCUGGGAAGUCCUCAGGGGUCCAGGACUGGUCUCUGCAACCUUGGGGCAGGGAGGGAGGAAGGCUGUGGCUCAGGAGGGCAGGACCAAUGUGGGUGUGACUGGUCCGUUUGUGCGGAGGCUGUGACCUGGGAAGUGUGGGCACCAGAUCGGACCCGCCAGAUAAACUCUCACCUGGAGACCAUCUAGGCGCUCAAGGGGUCAGAGUCCAGGCUAGAGAGUGGAGGAGAUGGGAGGGGCCAAGGCACAGGACCCGGGGGUCGGGGGGGACACCCUCCUGUUGGUCCAGGACCAGGGGUGCCCCCCCCCCCCGAGAAGGAGGGGACGCCCGGCUAAGGUUUCCACCCUCGGGAUUGUGACCAGACAGCCUGGGAGGGUGAACAGCCUGCCUCUCGGUGCAGGUGACCAACGACCAGGGCUGAGGCCAGGCUGCGGCUAAUCAGACCAGACGCUCCCGCCCUACCCGCCCCAGUCGUGUUGUGUCGUGUGCGGGGUGUGCAGAUGUCUCAGCCCAGCAGGCCCAGGGAGCCUGGGCCAGGCCAUGCCCGCACGGGCUGCUGAAGGGGACUCAGGGACGGGUCACCCGAAGCCUGCCCUCCGGGGGCUCCGUGUCCUGUGUCGGGGAUUUCCUCCAGGGUACAGACACCUGUCCUCUCGCCUCCUGCCUCGCUGGUCCCUGCUGCCCAGAGAGACCCUCCCCUCCCCGGACCUCCUUUGCCCUUGGACACUCCUUGAGGCUUCCAGGUAGGAAGGGCCUUUGUCAGAACAGAGAAACCAAAACCUAAACUUGCCCCCGAGGACUUAGGGAUAUGGCAGUUGGCAGAGAAGUUCUUCCCACGUUGAUGCCCGUGAGGGUGGCACGAGCGGCCUGAGUCUAGGAAGGGGUGGGGCCAUCGAUGCCAACUCAGCAGCUUCCAGGAGCUCUGAUGGCAUAUAAGGCUCCCAGGUCCUUACAGGGCACCCCGAGAGGCGGGCAUAGACCGUGACCAGGCAGAGAAGCAGCGGACAGAGAGCCGGAGACGGUGAAGGGACCGACAUGGAGGCUGGCGCCCGGGCCUGGGACAGUUGCCUGCUGGACAAGGACACCUUCCUGGAAAACUUCCACCUUGAGUGGUGGCCAAAUAAGGCCUACAUCUGCUAAGAGACGGAGCUCCCCAGCGGUGACCCCGGGGUCCCUCUGGGCCAACACAAGGACAUCCUGUGCAAUAAGGUUGGACCAAUCUCCACAGUCCUAGGAGCCCCCACAGUGACAUUCAUCCCAUGGACCCUGGGGGCCUCGCUCCUUGGCGCCCCUCCCCCCUUGUCACUGCACAGGGAGCCCUUUUGUAUCCCACAGCAAAUGACACAACCCUUUCCUGCCUCCUCUAUGCUCGGCCUGCCCGGGGAGGUCAGCCGGACUGCCACGCGGAGUUGUGCCGGCUGCAGCGGAUCCAGGCCUGGGAGCUGCUUUCUGUCCUGGAGAACAGACACGUGACCCCACACCCCUUCGCCUCCCACCUCCAUACCGAGGAAGGAUUUCAGAAUGGGUUGCGCCUCCUGUGGGGGGCCGGGGCCCGCAUCGCCAUCAUGACCUCCACCGGUCCGUGUGGAGCUCCCGGGGUGGGCGGUGGGCAGGGAGAGGCCUGGGGGCACUGGCUACGAAGGCGUGGGCAGGAGUGGAAUCCCUGGCGGAAGCCUCUGGUGGCUGCACAGGCCAGGCUGACCUGGGACGGCAGGGGACAGCGGAGCGUGCUGGAAGAGAGAGUGGGGGCCAGGAGAGGAGUCUGGAACGGGGGGGGGGGGGAGAAUAGCGGACUUGCAAGAGAGACGUGGGUGGGGUGUCCCGAGAGGAGGGGAAUCCGGCUGGCCGAGAGUGCAGGCUGAAGAAAGAGUCCCGGGGGUGAAAGGAGUCGCCAGGAGGACAGAGGGCAGCGGCGCCGUUAUGAAGGGCAAAGCCUGUCCCUGAGAGUCAGACACCCUGUGGCCACCCCUGUGGCCCAGCUCUCCUCCCACCCCGCCCCGCCCCACUGCUGAGUUUGAGCACUGCCGGGAACCCUUCGUGGACAAUCAGGGAAGAGCCUUCGAGCCCCGGGACACGCUGGUCUCCCAGAGUCAGGACCUUGCUGAGACGCUGCAGGUCACAGGUGAGCUCCCUCCUCCCCAAGGCCUCCCCUGCCCUCCUCCACUCUGUCCUCUCUGGCCUUUCCCUGUCCCCCUCCUCUUCCUCUGGGUCACCUGCUCCCUCCCAGGGUGCCAGCUCCACCCCUGCCCCACCCAAGCCUCCUGCCUCGGCUUCCCCACCUCCUCAUGUCCCCCUCCCUUCCCAUCUUUGUGGCUGCCAGACCACUUCUGUGUGCCCUCUGUCCACCUGUCUCACUGCCCGCCCCACCCACCUUCACCCUCCUGUUCUGGAGCAGAAAGCCUGAAGGGUGGGCCUCAGUCCCGCUAAGAAUGCAGGAGGCCUCUGUUGGACAGCAGAAUAAAACACUUCCUCCCAAGAAAUGUACACUUGCCCUUCACCGCCAUCCCCAGAUUGAUGUAAUGAAGCCAGCAGAAGGCAAUGAGCCCAGAGCAAAUAGUCUUAAAAAAAUAAAUAAAUAAGAACUGAGUAGGUUUGCUUGUCAUUGAAAAUCUCUCUUCUGUUCCAAAUAUACAUCAUGAAGAUUGCACUCAGCGCUGUCAGAAGAGUUUUCAGAGUUUAGAGAAGUAAUUACUGUAAUUGAUUCUGGGCAACCCUUAUGGCCAGGGAUCUAGAGACCAAAAACCUCCUCCUACAAGCCAUCCUGUCAGCAGCACUGACUGCAAGUGACAGCCACGCUCUGCAAGAGAAGAGGAAAGAGUCUGCUGGAGAGGAACCUCCCCUCUGAGCGCACACGGUGCACAGACAAGGGACUGGACGCCCAGGGGACUGGGACCGGCACCCAGGCGGGAUCCCUCCCGCCGCCGGGCUCACCGUGGCCCUCAUGCCGGGCUCCGUGGAAUCCAGACCCCGCUG